Molecule: long non-coding RNA, 696 nt
Filed under: Nicotiana benthamiana
Lineage: Eukaryota; Viridiplantae; Streptophyta; Magnoliopsida; Solanales; Solanaceae
Description: long non-coding RNA (NBEN_LNC011380)
Source: RNAcentral
CAAGCUUAGUCUUUCUUAAGUUCUACUAAGCUUCCGGGUAGGCUGACUAGCUAACUUUGGCAUUGAAAGUUCGCUAGGCCGGACAGAUCGUCGUGUCUAAGUUACGGUCUUGUCACACUUAGAUCGUAGAUGAAUGUAUCAAAUGGCUCCGAGUCGGGAAUCAGGCCCUGGAAUCACCUCCAUCUUGGCAUUCUGAAACUGAGUCAAAUUGCUGUCCAUUAAAGUAUUUUGAGAGAGAGGGGGAGACAAUUAUGGAGUUACUGAGGAUGUUUUCUUAGUCUAAUUGAGAAAGAGAGAGGUAGACUGUGGAGUUACUGAAAAUGGAAUUUUAUGGGAACUUUGGGACUGGUGUUAAUGGAGUUUUAUGGGGAUUUUGGUGCUUGGUUUUGCAGCAACUUUAGGCUGCAUAUUUGGAGGAAGAGAAGUUGAAGUUUGGAGUGUAUUGCGGCUGGUAAUGUGUUUUAGGCAUGGGUCUAUCUUUAGGGCAUUAGGUACUAUUACAUAGGUAUAAUGAUUAGUUUAGGGGUAUGGGCCUAGGAAUUAUGGACUUAGAAAUUAUGAAUUAGGUCUGAAAAUUAAGCUUAAAAUGGGUCGUUUGAGCCCGAAUUUAUUCUUUUCCCACGAACGAGACUAAAAUACGAUCUCAUUUAUUAAUUAAUCCUACUUAAGUAAAAUAACUAUUAAAAUAAGACUUAC